GAUGAACGCUGGCGGCGUGCCUAAUACAUGCAAGUCGAGCGAACAGACGAGGAGCUUGCUCCUCUGACGUUAGCGGCGGACGGGUGAGUAACACGUGGAUAACCUACCUAUAAGACUGGGAUAACUUCGGGAAACCGGAGCUAAUACCGGAUAAUAUAUUGAACCGCAUGGUUCAAUAGUGAAAGACGGUUUUGCUGUCACUUAUAGAUGGAUCCGCGCCGCAUUAGCUAGUUGGUAAGGUAAAGGCUUACCAAGGCAACGAUGCGUAGCCGACCUGAGAGGGUGAUCGGCCACACUGGAACUGAGACACGGUCCAGACUCCUACGGGAGGCAGCAGUGGGGAAUCUUCCGCAAUGGGCGAAAGCCUGACGGAGCAACGCCGCGUGAGUGAUGAAGGUCUUCGGAUCGUAAAACUCUGUUAUUAGGGAAGAACAAAUGUCUAAGUAUCUAUGCACGUCUUGACGGUACCUAAUCAGAAAGCCACGGCUAACUACGUG
RNAcentral lists this ribosomal RNA (497 nucleotides) under uncultured bacterium. RNAcentral describes it as "partial 16S ribosomal RNA". It matches the Rfam family "Bacterial small subunit ribosomal RNA", at positions 28 to 507 of the family's 1533-position model. The record is from RNAcentral.